GACGAACGCUGGCGGCGUGCUUAACACAUGCAAGUCGAGCGGUAAGGCCCUUUCGGGGGUACACGAGCGGCGAACGGGUGAGUAACACGUGGGUGACCUGCCCUCAGCUCUGGGAUAAGCCUGGGAAACCGGGUCUAAUACCGGAUAUGACUCCAUGACGCAUGUUGUGGGGUGGAAAGCCUUGUGCGGCUGAGGAUGGGCCCGCGGCCUAUCAGCUUGUUGGUGGGGUGAUGGCCUACCAAGGCGACGACGGGUAGCCGGCCUGAGAGGGCGACCGGCCACACUGGGACUGAGACACGGCCCAGACUCCUACGGGAGGCAGCAGUGGGGAAUCUUGCGCAAUGGGCGAAAGCCUGACGCAGCGACGCCGCGUGAGGGAUGAC
RNAcentral lists this ribosomal RNA (383 nucleotides) under uncultured bacterium. RNAcentral describes it as "bacterial SSU rRNA". It matches the Rfam family "Bacterial small subunit ribosomal RNA", at positions 28 to 412 of the family's 1533-position model. The record is from RNAcentral.